This 301-nucleotide ribosomal RNA is filed under the name uncultured bacterium. Its description in RNAcentral is "partial 16S ribosomal RNA". It matches the Rfam family "Bacterial small subunit ribosomal RNA", at positions 509 to 809 of the family's 1533-position model. The record is from RNAcentral.
CAGCCGCCGCGGGAAUACGAAGGGUGCAAGCGUUAAUCGGAACUACUGGGCGUAAAGCGUGCGUAGGCGGUUUGUUAAGUCUGUUGUGAAAUCCCCGGGCUCAACCUGGGAAUGGCAAUGGAUACUGGCAAGCUAGAGUGUGUCAGAGGAUGGUGGAAUUCCCGGUGUAGCGGUGAAAUGCGUAGAGAUCGGGAGGAACAUCAGUGGCGAAGGCGGCCAUCUGGGACAACACUGACGCUGAGGCACGAAAGCGUGGGGAGCAAACAGGAUUAGAUACCCCUGUAGUCCCUGUCUCUUAUAA